This 271-nucleotide ribosomal RNA is filed under the name uncultured bacterium. RNAcentral describes it as "partial 16S rRNA". It matches the Rfam family "Bacterial small subunit ribosomal RNA", at positions 505 to 775 of the family's 1533-position model. The record is from RNAcentral.
UUUUCCUCAUCCGCGGUAAUACGUAGGUGGCAAGCGUUGUCCGGAUUUACUGGUCGUAAAGGAUGUGUAGGCGGAUAUUUAAGUGAGAUGUGAAAUCCCCGGGCUUAACUUGGGGGCUGCAUUUCAAACUGGAUGUCUAGAGUGCAGGAGAGGAAAGCAGAAUUCCUAGUGUAGCGGUGAACUGCGUAGAGAUUAGGAAGAAUACCAGUGGCGAAGGCGUCUUUCUGGCCUGUAACUGACGCUGAGGCAUGAAAGCGGGGGGAGCAAACAG